Molecule: long non-coding RNA, 1226 nt
Filed under: Chelonoidis abingdonii (Abingdon island giant tortoise)
Lineage: Eukaryota; Metazoa; Chordata; Testudines; Testudinidae
Description: lncRNA (ENSCABG00000021765.1)
Source: RNAcentral
CCCAACUCCCAUUGGCAUGGAGGAAACCUGCCCUCUGGGUGGUCACCUGGCUCCCCUGGAGUGAGUGACAUCAACAGGGGCUCGGGCCCUAAACUCCUCUGAGGUGCUGGGCCUAGGGGUAAAUAACACUGAGACUAGUGGACUGUCUGUCUGUCCAGCACUGCACACCCCUCCCAUGUAAUCUAUCCAUCCCCAGCCCCCAUCUGUCCACCCCCAUCCACUCUCUAGCCCCACACACCCCUCAUCCAUCCAUCUAGCCCCAUGCACCCCAUGUGUCCACCCACCCCAUCCCCCAUCCACUCCUUCUAUCUCUGUCCCCACACACCCCUCAUGCAUCCAUCUAGCCCCAUGCACCCCAUCCGUCCACCCCCCCAUCCACUCCUAUCUCUAUCCCCACACACCCCUCAUCCAUCCAUCUAGCCCCAUGCACCCCAUCUAUCCAUCUACCCCACCCCCCAUCCACCCCCGUCUACUCCCUCUCUCUGUAUCCCCACACACCCCUCUCAUCUAUCUGUCUACCCCCUUAUACCCCAUCUAUCCAUCCACCGCACCCCUAUCUAUCCAUCCCCGUCCACUCCCUCUAUCUCUAUCCCCACACACCGCUCAUCCAUCCAUCUAUCCCCAUACACCCCAUCUGUCCAUCUACCCCACCCCUCAUCUAUCCACCCCCAUCCACUCUUUCUCUCUAUCCCCACACACCCCUCAUCCAUCCAUCUACCCCACUCCAUCUAUCCACUCCCUCUCUCUAUCCCCACACAUCCCUCAUCCAUCGAUCUAUCCCCAUUAAUCCCAUCUAUCCAUCCCCAUCCACUCCCUCUGUAUUCCCACACACCCCUCAUCCAUCCAUCCAUCUAUCCCAUACACCCCUCUCCAUCUACCCCCAUACACCCUAUCUCUCUGUGCGUCUGUCUACCCCCUCACACCUCUCUCAUCCAUCUAUUUACUCCCAUACGCGCCCUCUAUCUACUUCCAUACACCCAUCUAUCUAUCUGUGUCUAUCUGUCCCCAUACACCCCAUCUAUCUAUGUGCCUACCCCAUACACCCCAUCUAUCUGUCUGUGCGUCUACCCCUAUACACUCCCUCUAUCUAUCGAGCUAUCGAUCUAUCCCCAUACACACCUCUCAUCUGUCUGUCUAUGUACCCCCUUCUACCCUAUCUGCCCCCAUUCACCCCAUGUCUCCCUCUCUCUCGUUCAAGUGUCACACUCCACAGUCCAUUAUGGGGG